Molecule: ribosomal RNA, 939 nt
Filed under: Umbilicaria aprina
Lineage: Eukaryota; Fungi; Ascomycota; Lecanoromycetes; Umbilicariales; Umbilicariaceae
Description: LSU rRNA
Rfam family: Eukaryotic large subunit ribosomal RNA
Source: RNAcentral
ACCCGCUGAACUUAAGCAUAUCAAUAAGCGGAGGAAAAGAAACCAACAGGGAUUGCCUCAGUAACGGCGAGUGAAGCGGCAACAGCUCAAAUUUGAAAUCUGGCCGUUCGGCGGUCCGAGUUGUAAUUUGCAGAGGAUGCUUCGGGUGCGGCGCCGGUCUAAGUUCCUUGGAACAGGACGUCAUAGAGGGUGAGAAUCCCGUAUGUGACCGGCGACCUGGCCCGUGUGAAGCUCCUUCAACGAGUCGAGUUGUUUGGGAAUGCAGCUCUAAGCGGGUGGUAAAUUUCAUCUAAAGCUAAAUACCGGCCAGAGACCGAUAGCGCACAAGUAGAGUGAUCGAAAGAUGAAAAGCACUUUGGAAAGAGAGUUAAAAAGUACGUGAAAUUGUUGAAAGGGAAGCGCUUGCGACCAGACUUGCUCACAGGCGAUCAGCCGUCCUUCUGGGCGGUGCACUCGCCUGUGAUCAGGCCAGCAUCGGUUCGGGCGGCCGGAUAAAGGCCCCGGGAAUGUGGCUCCCCUCGGGGAGUGUUAUAGCCCGGGGUGCAAUGCGGCCCGCCGGGACCGAGGACCGCGCUUCGGCUAGGAUGCUGGCGUAAUGGUCGUAAGCGACCCGUCUUGAAACACGGACCAAGGAGUCUAACAUCUGUGCGAGUGUUUGGGUGUCAAACCCAUGCGCGGAAUGAAAGUGAACGGAGGUGGGAACCCUUCAGGGUGCACCAUCGACCGAUCCUGAUGUCUUCGGAUGGAUUUGAGUAAGAGCAUAGCUGUUGGGACCCGACAGAUGGUGAACUAUGCCUGAAUGGGGUGAAGCCAGAGGAAACUCUGGUGGAGGCUCGCAGCGGUUCUGACGUGCAAAUCGAUCGUCAAAUUUGGGUAUAGGGGCGAAAGACUAAUCGAACCAUCUAGUAGCUGGUUCCUGCCGAAGUUUCCCUCAGGAUA